UAUUUUUAAGGAGGCUCUACACCCAACAUGGGGCUCAGUGGAUACAACCCUGAGAUCAAGAGUCACAUGCUCUACCAACUGAGAGGUG
Molecule: small nucleolar RNA, 88 nt
Filed under: Ursus maritimus (polar bear)
Lineage: Eukaryota; Metazoa; Chordata; Mammalia; Carnivora; Ursidae
Source: RNAcentral